CUACGGGAGGCAGCAGUGGGGAAUAUUGCACAAUGGGCGCAAGCCUGAUGCAGCGACGCCGCGUGGGGGAUGACGGCCUUCGGGUUGUAAACCUCUUUCAGUAGGGACGAAGCGUAAGUGACGGUACCUAUAGAAGAAGCACCGGCCAACUACGUGCCAGCAGCCGCGGUAAUACGUAGGGUGCGAGCGUUGUCCGGAAUUACUGGGCGUAAAGGGUCCGCAGGUGGCAUGUCAAGUCGAUUGCGAAAGCUCCCGGCUCAACUGGGAGAGGACGGUCGAAACUGGCAAACUAGAGUCCGACAGAGGUCGGCGGAAUUCCCGGUGUAGUGGUGGAAUGCGUAGAUAUCGGGAGGAACGCCAAAAGCGAAAGCAGCCGGCUGGGUCGAGACUGACACUGAGGGACGAAAGCGUGGGUAGCGAACAGGAUUAGAAACCCUUGUAGUCC
RNAcentral lists this ribosomal RNA (445 nucleotides) under uncultured bacterium. Its description in RNAcentral is "bacterial SSU rRNA". It matches the Rfam family "Bacterial small subunit ribosomal RNA", at positions 339 to 796 of the family's 1533-position model. The record is from RNAcentral.